UGAACGCUGGCGGCAGGCCUAACACCUGUAAGUCGAACGGAGUUAUAUUGUAGCUUGCUAUGGUAUAACUUAGUGGCAGACGGGUGAGUAAUGUAUAGGAAUCUACCUAGUAGUACGGAAUAAUUGUUGGAAACGGCAACUAAUACCGUAUACGCCCUACGGGGGAAAAAUUUAUUGCUAUUAGAUGAGCCUAUAUUAGAUUAGCUAGUUGGUGGAGUAAUAGCCUACCAAGGCAAUGAUCUAUAGCUGAUCUGAGAGGAUGAUCAGCCACACUGGAACUGAGAUACGGUCCAGACUCCUACGGGAGGCAGCAGUGGGGAAUAUUGGACAAUGGGCGAAAGCCUGAUCCAGCCAUGCCGCAUGAGUGAAGAAGGCCUUUGGGUUGUAAAGCUCUUUUAGUGAGGAAGAUAAUGACGGUACUCACAGAAGAAGUCCUGGCUAACUCCGUGCCAGCAGCCGCGGUAAUACGGAGAGGGCUAGCGUUAUUCGGAAUUAUUGGGCGUAAAGGGCGCGUAGGCGGAUUAGUAAGUUAAAAGUGAAAUCCCAAGGCUCAACCUUGGAAUUGCUUUUAAAACUGCUAAUCUAGAGAUUGAAAGAGGAUAGAGGAAUUCCUAGUGUAGAGGUGAAAUUCGUAAAUAUUAGGAGGAACACCAGUGGCGAAGGCGUCUAUCUGGUUCAAAUCUGACGCUGAGGCGCGAAGGCGUGGGGAGCAAACAGGAUUAGAUACCCUGNUAGUCCACGCUGUAAACGAUGAAUGUUA
RNAcentral lists this ribosomal RNA (760 nucleotides) under uncultured bacterium. Its description in RNAcentral is "bacterial SSU rRNA". It matches the Rfam family "Bacterial small subunit ribosomal RNA", at positions 30 to 818 of the family's 1533-position model. The record is from RNAcentral.